Daphnia pulex (common water flea) is the source of this 1433-nucleotide long non-coding RNA. RefSeq lists it as uncharacterized. The record is from RefSeq and is a predicted model, not a curated record. Lineage: Eukaryota; Metazoa; Arthropoda; Branchiopoda; Diplostraca; Daphniidae. The transcript has 10 exons.
UCGAGAUCAGCAGACGACAUUCAUCGACAAAAAUUCUUUUUCUUCGAGACGCUGUCCGAGAAGGUUACCUUAGCCAUUGGAUCAUGGCGGCUUUCUUUCCUGACGUUUUUCGUCAAUGCCUGGUGAAGUCUGAGCUUCUUCAUACAUUACGUGUACGUGAUCGCUGUCUUGUCAUGAAGAGGGUCUCCACUAAUUUGCAAGACAAUUAAGAUGAAAAGAGGAAAUUUGAAAAGGGUUCCUUGUUCGGUUUGAGCUGUUAAUGGUGUGUAUUGCAGUCAUUCCGUCGAGAGAUGCCCUGAGAUAACUACUAAGACUUCCCUCACAUCAUCGUCCUUUUAAAUGGAGAUGCUGUCCGAGAAGGCUUGGAUUGGCCAUUGCAGGCAAUUUUCUCUCGACAUUACAAGUUUUAGAAAUGUAAACUAAUGGGAUCAUGGUUUUUAACUUCUACUUGCAUGGUCAUAAGGUAUGCUGUGCAUUUUCCCCAAAAUGUCGUCUCUUGGUUCAUGUUGCACGUUUCGUCACAUUAAGAAUAACAGUCUGGUGAAGUCCAAGCUUUUCAUUGCGCUUCGUGUACGUGAUCGCUGCCGUUUAAUGAAGGUUCUCUAAGUGGGUCUCCGGCCUCUUAGACUUGUUGCAGCGAGCUCUGGUGAAGGAUGUGGUGAGCUGUUGCAUGACGACCAUGUGCUGGUGUGGGGAAGUGCUGGAAUGUAUCUGUGGUUUCCAUUGUCAGUUAGAUGUAUGAGCUAAUUAUGUUGUUGCUCUGUGGUAUGCAGUUCAUGUUAAGGUGGUUUUGUUGCAGCCGCUGCUGCUGAAAGGGAGUCCAAGUCGAGUUGAGCUGCAGCUUUUGAAGCAGUUAACAAUGCUGAUGUUAUUCUGAAAUGUAACAUCAAUGAAGACAUCUUGAAAUGGUCUUGGUGAAGACGUCAUCAUCGAUCUUCUGCAUACAGUUUUUGUUAUCAAGAAGUGGAAGUAAGACUUGAAGCAAAGCUGCAAGAAAAUAAAUGGUAUCGACGUUAAUGUGCAGUGGUUUUACAGUCCGACUCCUGUUCAAACUGUUGCUUUCCUGAAUUUUGCCGGAGUCCUUGCAGUAGCUGAUCCUGAAGUUAUGAUGUCGGGGUUAUUCUGGAGUAGCUGUUGUUGAUGUCUUAAUUUACUGUGCAAGUUCAAUUCGGGUUGAUAAAAAUAUUAAUAUCCAUGUAGUAUGUGAUAUAGUAACCUUAAGCUAUUUUGUUAUCCAUUGUGGUAUGUUGUGAACUGAUCUUGGUCUAAACAUAAGUUGUGCUUCCUGAUAUUUCCCUCACCCAUAUUUAUCAAAUAACUCUUAAAUAAUGGGAUGUAAAAGAAAAGUUGAAAUUUUUCGUUGUGCGUUGGAAAUUUAUAUGAUAUAUUUUCCACAAUUACAUGUGAAAUGCCAAAAUAAAUAGAAAAACAAC